CACUCUCUCUUAAGCUUAAGCUUGGAUUAUUUAAAAUAAUUACUGUAACACCUGUACUUUCCUUUAUUUUCUGUACCAGGCAGAAAUAAACCCGAGGACUACUUUGCACACUGAGAUUUGCAGGAAAAUGAGACCCUCAAUUCAGCCUGACAUUUCCAUUAGCACUUAAAUGAAUGGUAGCCUAGCAGCUCACAUUAGAGACUUCUCCUCUCAACUAAAUGUGACAGGAAAUUACCCCUGGCACUUUGGGGGACAAUUGUUCCUUCUCACCCCAUUUCUAUACACAAAAAGUCCCGCUGUUAUCACCUAUAUUGAUUUUAGCUCAAUUUGUACUAGAGAUAAAGGUUCUCAUUUUAAAGUUAAAAAAAAAAUCCCAGAUUAACUUAGUUAAUCUUUAGCACAACCUCAUGAGGGCAGUUCUAUUACUUCCACUUCACACAAGAAAGUAGAGGCAUAAUGUUUUACAUUCCCUGACUAUGUAGACUCUGUGAUGGCCUAAUUUGUUUUGUUUACUGCUGUUUUCUCAAAAUCUAGAAUGGUUGGCACAUAAUAGGCACUCAAUAAAUACUUGUGGACUGAAGUAUGCAUGCAUGCAUGAAUGAAUAAAUGCACAAACAACCCAAAGAUCACAUAGCCAACUGGGACCUAAACAGCUAUCUAACCCCAAUGCCUGUGUCCUUGGUGACCUCGGCACACAGAUGAUUCAGGUGGUAUGCCUGCACUGUGACCUCACUCUACUCAGAAGAAGAAGGGGCUGCCUGCUCAUUGUCAUAACCUUUGUGAAAUCAACAACCAAGGUAGGACCAGAUUUAGGUCCUCCUAGGGUUGUCGUGGCUACUUGUUUGGGUUUGAUAUGAACAAUCCGGUGAAGUGAAGAAGUAGGUAGUGUAAUGAAAUCUGAUAGAACUCUUAACUACCUAACAUGUACCCUCUCUCUGCUCCAGUUCCAUCAUCUGGAAAAUAGAAAUAAUUAUAUUUACCUCAUGAGGGAAUUGUGAGGGUUAAAUUUUAAAAUAUAGAUAAAACACCUAGCAUCAAUGUCUUGUACAUAGUGGGCAUUCAGUAAUAGUUUACCUUUUCCUCCACCCAUUUAACCUGAAGCUCUGUCCCCAUUUUUGGAUAGGCAACACAAUGCUCUGCUCUCUUCUUUUCAAGCAUAGUGGAGAGGGAAAAAGCCUGAACAAGAAGAUUCGCCCUAGGGGAUAGAGGAUGAAAAUGUACUGAAUUUGUACUGACUGUUCCUCUGCAGGAAUGGAUUUUCUUCUGUGUAUUGCUGACACGAACAGGAGACGGAAAUACUGAGUAGAAGAGGGCGGUUCCCUGGCUAAGGCUCCACCCUCAAGCCUGGAUACCCGCGGCCCUAAAUGAGAAGAGGCAUUUCUGUUUGGGGCCCAAAAAGUUGCCUUUUGACCCACCACGCCCCCUAUCCUGCCCCCAUAUAAACCCCAAACCCCAACCUCCAGAGCAUACCAGCAGGUGAGGAGAUACGAGGCAAGCCGACUGACGGGCAAAACAACGUAGCAGAGAAAGAGAGAAGAGGAGGGACGUCUGGACACCGAGAGAUGUUUGGCUGGGGGCAGUCAGAGCGGAGUCCAGCCCCUGGGCGGCCCAACUCCAGGGGAAGAUCACCUUCCCACUUCAUCCAUCCCCACCCUUCCAGCUCCCCAUCCAUCCUGCUGAAAGCCAUUUCCACCACUCAAUAAAACCUCGCAUUCAUCCUUCAAGUCCGUGUGUGACCCGAUUUUUCCUGGAUUCUGGAAAAGAGCUCGGAAUACAGAAAGCUGUCCCCUGGUCCUUUGCCCUUGUGAAAAAGCAGAAGGUCCAUUGAGCUGGUUAACACUCCAGCCGUCUGUGGUGGCCAAGCUGAAAGAGCUUUGUAACGCUGGGGUUACAGGCACCCACCUCUAGACGCUACCGCAGAGCCAGAGCCCAAAGCCCUCACCCCGGCCUCUGCACUUGCCCAUCUGCGUGCUCCCCCUCUCGCAAGGGGUUUCUGCAGAGGGGGCUACUGAACAGAUGGAAUCUUGCUCUCUUGCUCAGACUGGAGUGCAGUGGCGUGACCUUGGCUCACUGCAACCUCACCUCUCGGGUUCAAGCGAUUCUGCCUCAGCCUCUCGAGUAGCUGGGACUACAGGUGGGAGACCUCCACAGAACCCUUCCAGCAAGCUGUCUUCUAAAGCAAACAAGAAAAGGAAAGUCUGAGCAGUUUUGAUUAGAUUUCCCAGAAGUCAAAGCAAGGAAAAAUGAAAAAGCUUCAUUUCUCACGUUCUUAAAAGAGAGCACAGAUGUUGCAUCAUCUGGUUAGAUACCCUGAGAAUAAAAUCUGGAUCCAGUGAGAGGAAAGAUUCUGGGUGCUCAUGAAAAAAGAAACAAAACAAAACUUGGGAGCCUCUUGAGAGUGUACAGCAUCAGCCCUUGCCAACUCUUGUUUAUAUGCAUUUAACUUUCAGUUAACCAUGGGAAUAAUUCAUGAAAAUCCAAUCUACAAACAAAGGCCAUCCCAAUGUUCAUGUUAUUCUUUUCCCUAAGAAUCUUUCACAAGAGCUAUAAUCAAGUAAAUUAUGCUUUGAUUUGAAUUUUAAUUCAAUUGAAAAUAAAAAAUGAGGGCCGGACGCAGUGGCUCACGCCUGUAAUCCCAGCGCUUUGGGAGGCCGAGGCGGAUGGAUCACGAGGUCAGGAGAUCGAGACCAUCCUGGCUAACACGGUGAAACCCCAUCCCUACUAAAAAUACAAAAAAUUAGCCGGGCGUGGUGGCAGGUGCCUGUAGUCCCAGCUACUCGGGAGGCUGAGGCAGGAGAAUGGCGUGAACCCAGGAGGCAGAGGUUGCAGUGAGCCGAGAUCAUGCUACUGCACUCCAGCCUGGGCGACAGAGCAAGACUCUGUCUAUAAAUAAAUAAAUAAAUAACGAAAAGGUUGCCAUUGCCCUUUCUGGGGAAAGUGAUAAUGAGGAAAGACUAGAUUCUUAACCCAAGUCAGCUUUAGAGUCGGCAAGGGUACAAUUUGAGGUGAUCCAGGAAAACUCUAUUAGCAUGGUAUUUCCCAUACAGAUUCAUUUCUUUCAGGCCUGAAGUCUUUUUGGCACUUCUUAAUAAAAUCACAGAUACCUCUUGGACAUGAAAGCUUAUCCUUUAUCAAUUUCUAUCAGUUAACCACUCAGAUGAGGAUAAAGGCCUGAGUGAGAAAGGACAGAGAGAGGUUCCACAAAGAGAUAAAAGAUGAGUGGCCAUAAGGAGUCCUUGAAAACACACCUCUCUAGCCCAUCAAAAAAUGCAGCUCCUUAAACUCAAGUCCAUCUUACUAGCCUUUAGCAGUACCCCACCACUCUCGAAAUUUCCAGCAUUAAAUGUCUCGGAGCUAUAUAAAAGGCAGACUUAGGUACAAGUAGGAAGAGAUAUCAAGGGCUUGGGUAUCAUUUCAGCACUAAUGGAGCUAAUGGCAUGUAUGAAUGAACGUGAUGCGUGGUCUCCACGAUAGAUUGUUACAAUUGAGGUCCCACAUUUAUGAGAUUCCCAGUGAAAACAAAUCUCACAGCUUCACCUGAGAGAAACAUUACUGUCAGUCUCAGAUACAAAAGCCUGCUGCUAUUAGGUACCUACGCACCUGCUGAAAAUGGACCAGCUUUGCUGUAGUAGUGCAUGCAGGCAAAAAAAAAAAACAUAAAAAUAACCCAUUUCUCAACAAAUAAAAUUAAUUGGCAGUCAUCACGUUCCCAAGGGAUCAAGGGGUAAAAUCUUUGGCAGCAUAUUGCACAGUGGGCAGGGUGUUUUUGGCUUCAUAAAAGUGAUGAGAGGAGACAUCAGGCUAUUCUCUGCUCUUAGAAAUUAUUAGCUCUUUACUAACAUUUAAGAAUCCAUGGGGAAAUUUUUGUUCUGAAUUUCUGUUAGAAUAUUUAAUAUUAUAACAAUAAUAUUUAAGAUGUUGGUUUGAAGGUGGGGCACGGUGGCUCACGCCUGUAAUCCCAGCACUUUGGGAGGCUGAAGCUGGUGGAUUACUUGAGGUCAGGAGUUUAAGACCAGCCUGGCCAAAUGGUGAAACCUCAUCUCUACUAAAAAUACAAAUAUUAGCCAGGUGUGGUGGUGCACACCUGUAAUCCCAGCUACUCGGCUACUUGGGAGGCUGAGGCUCGAGAAUCACUUCAGCCUGGGAGUUGCAGGUUGCAUUGAGCUGAGAUUGUGCCACAGCAUUCCAGCCUGGGCGACAGAGUGAGACUCCAUCUCAAAAAAAAAAAAAAAAAAAAAAAAGAUGUUGGUUUGAGUGCCUUUCAUAAGUUAAGCAACGGGAAAACAGCUCAAAUUUCAAAAGAGCAUUUAGUUAAUUGCCUCUGCGAUAAGCCUUCGCUUUCCAGCCCAGGAGAGGGAGUCCAUAUGGCAGGAGGCCUUCCUCAUCUCCUGAUGUGCCAAGCUCUCACCUUUCCUUUAAUGCCUGUGCUUUCCAGCCCAGGAGAGGGAGUCCAUAUGGCAGGAGGCCUUCCUCAUCUCCUGAUGUGCCAGGGUCUCACCUUUCCUUUCAUUUGGCUGGAGCUGUGCUGUCCAAUACAGUAGUCACUAGUCACAUGUGACCAUUAAGCAAUGGAAUGUGGCUAGUCUGAAUAAAGAUGUGCUUUAAUGUAAAAUACACAUUUGACUGGGAGAUUUAGUUUAAAAAAUGUUAAAUACUUCAAAUUUUCUAUAUUGCUCAUGCAUUAAAAUGAUAAUAUUUAGAAUACAUUGUGUUAAAGAAAAUGUAUUUUUAAAAUAAUUUAACUGACUUAUUUUUAUGUUUUUAAAAAUGUGGCUCCUAGAAAAUUUAAAAUACAUGGCUUGCAUUUGUGGCUCCCAUUAUAUUUCUGUUGGAUAAUGCUGGGCUAGCAUUUCCUUCCAGAUGAGCACUCUCUGAAACCCAGGUGGAUGUGUUACCUGGAGAUGGCUCUAGUUAACCUGCACGGAUAUCAUUUGAGAGGGAGGAUCUCUGGUCCUCAAGCAUUGGCACACAGAUUAUUUUUCUGUUACCCCAGAGGAUGGAGUCAUGGAAAUCAAAGUUUGGCAAAAAGUGAUGCCUGCCAGUUAAUUUUAUUUGCUGGGGAAUGGGUGAUUUCUUGCCUGAAUGCACUACCACAGCAAAGCUGCCCCACCUUAAGCAGGUGUGUAGGUACCCAGGUAGCAGGCUUUUGUAUCCGUGACUGACAGUAAUGUUUCUCUCAGUCCCUAAGCUACUCCUUAAACUACAUAAGAAACUGAUUCAGGUGGGUCGAAGUGAGUUUCAUCAGGAGUAGGAGAAGGAAAAUGGCAGCAAAGUGGCCAGGGAAGAUGCUGAGGAGAGGAGCAGUGAACAGUGGGGGAUGCAGGGCCUCAGCAGGGGGCACGGGUGGAAGGGGGUGCAUUGGAACCUCACUGUGCCUGUCUGACAUCUUCUUCCUCUUUGACUUCUCCUUCCAUCUUUUCUCUCCUCAGUUUUUCCUCUGCUUUUAGAAUGAGUUAUUUUCAACAGAUUUGUACAAUGAAGAAAGGAGUUUAGUGUCACCCCUGGUCAAACUGGUCAAAACGUUUUUAGACAAUGCAGUAUAGGUAGAGUUCACCCAGCUCUAAUGAUACAGCAGCAAAAAUGCGGCGAAGCGGCAUUGCAUAGGCAGUCACGGUCACUAGGACCACAUCAUCCUUCUGGAAGAGAGUAUUACAGGGAGAAGGUGGAAAGAAAAUGAGAGGAGAAGCGAGUGUCUAGGCAGCUUGGGCUGCUAUCACAAAGUACUACAGAUGGGGUGGCUUAAACAAGAAACUUUUUUUCUAUACUUCUGGGGUCUAGAAGUCUCAGAUCAGGAUGUCAGGAUGGUCAGGUUCUGGUGAGGACUGUCUUCCUGGCCACCUUUAUGCUGCGUCCUCACAUGGCAGAAAGAGAGAGACCAAAAACUCUCUCAUAUCUCUUCUUAUAAGGGCACUGGCUGCAUCAUGAAAGGCCCACUCUCAUGAACCCAUCCAAGCCUAAUUAUUUCCCACAGGCCCCAUCUCCAAAUGCCAUCUAGUCGGGGGCUAGGGCUUCAACACAGGAAUUUUGAUGGGGACAUAAUUCAGUCCAUAGCACAAGAAGAGGACAGUCAGAAAAGGGGUAGAGUAGAUGCUGAAAAAAAGAGAGAUGGCAUGAGGAUUCCCAUUGUACUGUUCUCAUGUAUUAAAUGAAAAUACUAAUAGACAACCUAAAGACAUACUAAAAAUAAAAAAAAUUCUCAUACAAGUAUAUUUUACUACUAGUCUCUUUACACAUAUAAAACACAAAUAUUUUGUUCCAUUUCUAAAUACAUUACAACUAACAAAAGCGUUUAAAACUCUUUAGCAAAGUGGGGGACUUCAAGAGCCUCAAGUCCUAUUUGUAUUGGAAAGGGCCCAAGGCCACCCCAGUGAGUUUUCUAGAAUCUAUCACUAACCAUCUCACUCCUCUCCCCCCAUCUAGUCUCCCUCAUCUGUAACAGGAAGUGAUGUGUGUCCCCAAAGUCCUGACAGCUCUACAUGUCCCACACUUCACACACCUGUGGUCCCUCAUAGGCUUCUGCUGGCAGCUCAGACAGUCUUGCCAAGGCGGGUCUCCCUGAAGCCUGGAGGUGCUGUUAUCUGACCAGAUCAUCUCAGCCUUAACCCCACACCCACAGGAUCCAGGAAACCCAGAGAUUGCAACAAGAAAGGCUCUUCUAUGUGAGACGGAGGAAAAACCUGAUUAGCAACAGUGAGGGUAUAAACUCAUCACUUUCACCACUACUGAAGGGGUUUUUACAGUCAUACAUCAUUCUUCAUCAUUUCCCCUCUUUCUUCUAUGACUUAAAAUAGAUGUAAGUCAGGACUGAGAAUGAGAGUGUACAGUUCUCGCAAAAAGACUAUAGGGGAUGGCCGGUGGGAAUUGGGCAGGGUUAGAAAGGUUUAGUGAGAGGAGAGGCAGUCCCAGCAUUCUGCCUUCGGCUGACCCAGGCUGUACUCACUUUUCUAUGUCAGCCUUGAAAGACCAAAGACCCAGAAGAAAACAUGACCUUGCCUUUGGCCAUUUCCAGCUUCCUGUUCUUCAUACCCUCAAAACCUUUAUGCUCUGAGAAAAGUGACAUGUGAGAGUUACAUCAAAAAUGACUAAUAAUAGCUAAAUAGAUAACAAUAGAGGUGACUGUAGUUGAAGGAGUACCUUAAGAGACUGAGCAUUGACUACAUUUUUGGGGUGAUCUAGUCUCAUCUGCUACCAGUAUAGGAAUUAUUUCUGUAACAUCUCUUUGAUAAUUUUUUUUCUUUUCUUUUCUUUUUUUGAAACGGAGUUUUGCUCUUGUUGCCCAGGCUGAAGUGCGAUGGUGCAAUCUUGGCUCACCACAACCUCCGCCUCCCGGGUUCAAGCGAUUCUCCUGCCUCAGCCUCUUGAGUAGCUGGGAUUACAGGCAUGCGCCACCACGCUCAGAUAAUUUUGUAUUUUUAGUAGAGAUGGGAUUUCUCCAUGUUGACCAGGGUGGUCUCGAACUCCCAACCUCAGGUGAUCCACCUGCCCCGGCCUCCCAAAGUGCUGGGAUUACAGGUAUGAGCCACCGUGCCUGGCCUCUCUUUGAUAAUUUUCUAAGCAAGCGGCUCUCAGUCACUGGUGUCCCUCCAGCUCUUCAGAGGUUGGCUGCCAAUUGUAAUCAAUGAGUUAAAAAUCUGAAUUUUGUGAUCACUGCAGCUGUACACUGUCACAGAGAGACCUGACAGAGGGAACACUGCCAUACAUAGACUGGGAAAACAGUGGGGCAUCACUUGUUGCUAAUCAGAGCAAGAAGGAGUGGUUUCAUAUUAGGUCAACAUACCUAGAAUAUGUGAAAACAUUGCUUCACGAGUCCAAGACGUUAACACUUUUCUGUAAACAGUGAUGCAGGGCUGAAAAGUGACCCAAUGAAUAGGAGGAAGAGUUCUUUUAGAUUUUCUAAAUACUUCUUGCUAAAAAGGGAUGUUCCCCUUUUGAUUUCUUUAUGGGUGCCACCAAAAAGUAUGCAUUAAACAGAGAAAUGCUGAGAAGCACUGAUCUAAUUUCUGACCCAACUACCUCUAACAAUGGGAAAUAUACUUGUUGCUAGCCAGAUCCCAAGUAUCCUCCAUAGUCAUCUUCUUGUUCAUUCAUUCAUCCAAUAAUUAUGUUUGGGAACCUGCACAUAGAGAAUAAAUAAGAUAAAAUGUUGGCUCCACAGCUGCAGCUUCACAGUGAAGUAGGGGAGGGGCAGCACUGAGUUAGGCCCUAAAGGGCAUUCGGGAUUAGCCUAAACAAACACCUCAGCUGGGUACUCACUCGUCAAAGUUUACUUUUCCCUCUGCCUUUCAAGCUAAUGACUAAGGCUGCCAAGUAUUUACUCAACAAGAAAGACCCAACAAGGAUCACCGGUGAGGUGAUUAAAUACCUCAUUCCACCAGAGCCACCCAGGAUUGCUGUUUGGACUAAAAGACAAUGUCAGCUUCCUCCUCUGUACAAAUGCCCAUUACUCUGACUCACUAUGGGGCUGGUUUUGAAAGUUAUGUAUUAUUUGUCAGCAACCACCACAGAGUCCAGGGUCAUCUCUUGCCAUACUUGGACUUGCACAUACUUGGCACAGCUUUAGGACAUAUUCUUUAGAAAUAUAUCCCUCCCACUUAAAUUGACAAACCUAAACAAAACUUUUUAGGUUUUCUAUCCUUCUCUAGAUUUUUACAGUGAACGUUUGCAAAUGGCUAUUCUCCGAAAUAAAUGAUUCACUUAUUUUUUCUGUA
Molecule: long non-coding RNA, 8708 nt
Organism: Gorilla gorilla gorilla (western lowland gorilla)
Lineage: Eukaryota; Metazoa; Chordata; Mammalia; Primates; Hominidae
Exons: 4
Source: RefSeq, a predicted model, not a curated record